UGAUGCUUCUUGAUGGCACGAUUGUAAUUUUUCUUUUUCUGAUUUUGAUUUUUGGUGUUGUGAAGGGAUUGUGAUGAGUAGGUCGUUGGUGCUUUAGCUGCACAAGACGGAGGGUCGGGGAGGGGAUUAUGCGGAGUUUCUGCACUUGCCAAGGAGGAAAUUCACUGAUUUUGGGUUUAAAGAUAUAGCCUCCGAAUAGUCAAUGGCGGCUGAGGCUGAACUCUCCAAACACAAAGGAGGUAUCUUUAACCGCUAUGAUGAUGUCAUCGUUAUGUAAUUUGUAAAAUAAAAAUCCACCCCUACCCCUCCCCUUCCUAAAUUCAAGUAAAGCUAAAACCUGAGUUUUUUUUCAUUUUGUGCUCAUUUAUGUAGUCUAAGAUGUCUAUAUCUGGUUUAACGUUUAAUUCCCAAAAGAUAUCCUGCUAUGCGGCACGAGCAAGAGGUUCUAAUUUCUCUGUUGGUUCUUCCUCCUUGAUUUCUAAUGGGUUCAUUAAGCUGAAGUUGAGCUUUUUAUCUCAUACGGAUAGGAAAUAUUUGGCUAUGACAGUCCGCAGAGUUUUGGUUGGAAGACCUGUCAGGAUAAAGAGCAGCAUAUAUGCUGCAUUUGGUGACAUGGCUGAUGAUUCAACCGGUAGAUACGCUCUUUCUUUUAGUUUCUCAUGAAUGCUUGAUAUUGGUGUUGCGAACAUCACGCAUAAUUAUUUACGAGAUAUGUUAUAUUAAGUAUAUGCGUAUUACAAACAAUGAUACAGUUUCUCUCAGCCAGACUAGCCUAAUAAGACCACAAUGACAAUAUCCUAUGCAAACGAAAGAACUUAUUCACGGGCAUAUAGAUUAAAGUUGGAGGUUGAAUCUUUUAACUUCCACACUUUAGAUUUAUUCAUGGCAUUCACUCUCCAAUUAGUAUCAAGAUCAGAGCCAAAUCUAAC
Molecule: long non-coding RNA, 929 nt
Organism: Asparagus officinalis (garden asparagus)
Lineage: Eukaryota; Viridiplantae; Streptophyta; Magnoliopsida; Asparagales; Asparagaceae
Exons: 3
Source: RefSeq, a predicted model, not a curated record